CCUACGGGUGGCAGCAGUAGGGAAUCUUCCACAAUGGGCGAAAGCCUGAUGGAGCAACGCCGCGUGGGUGAAGAAGGUCUUCGGAUCGUAAAACCCUGUUGUUAGAGAAGAAAGUGCGUGAGAGUAACUGUUCACGUUUCGACGGUAUCUAACCAGAAAGCCACGGCUAACUACGUGCCAGCAGCCGCGGUAAUACGUAGGUGGCAAGCGUUAUCCGGAUUUAUUGGGCGUAAGGGGAGCGCGGGCGGUCUUUUAAGUCUGAUGUGAAAGCCUUCGGCUUAACCGGAGUAGUGCAUUGGAAACUGGGAGACGUGAGUGCAGAAGAGGAGAGUGGAACUCGAUGUGUAGCGGUGAAAUGCGUAGAUAUAUGGAAGAACACCAGUGGCGAAAGCGGCUCUCUGGUCUGUAACUGACGCUGAGGUUCGAAAGCGUGGGUAGCAAACAGGAUUAGAUACCCCUGUAGUC
RNAcentral lists this ribosomal RNA (465 nucleotides) under uncultured bacterium. RNAcentral describes it as "partial 16S ribosomal RNA". It matches the Rfam family "Bacterial small subunit ribosomal RNA", at positions 338 to 795 of the family's 1533-position model. The record is from RNAcentral.